Molecule: ribosomal RNA, 253 nt
Filed under: uncultured bacterium
Lineage: Bacteria
Description: partial 16S ribosomal RNA
Rfam family: Bacterial small subunit ribosomal RNA
Source: RNAcentral
CCACGCCGUAAACGAUGAGUGCUAGGUGUCGGGGGUCAAACCUCGGUGCCGACGUUAACACAUUAAGCACUCCGCCUGGGGAGUACGUGCGCAAGCAUGAAACUCAAAGGAAUUGACGGGGACCCGCACAAGCAGCGGAGCAUGUGGUUUAAUUCGUGGCUACGCGAAGAACCUUACCAGGGCUUGACAUCCUCUGACCGCCUAAGAGAUUAGGUUUCCCUUCGGGGCAGAGAGACAGGUGGUGCAUGGUUGU